Molecule: long non-coding RNA, 1174 nt
Organism: Eubalaena glacialis (North Atlantic right whale)
Lineage: Eukaryota; Metazoa; Chordata; Mammalia; Artiodactyla; Balaenidae
Exons: 3
Source: RefSeq, a predicted model, not a curated record
GCGCGGCUGCAGUCCUCCAAAACCAGCUUCUGGGGCUUUGGAGCAGAGAGAGGGAGUGCGGCGUUCUCCCAGGAGAGCACGGCGAGCAGAGGACGCUCCGCCAGGGCAUGACUGUCUGAAGGAACCGAGGACGGGUGGGAGAGAGAGAGAGCCUUCCCCUCGCUGAGCGGAAAAGGGCGAGAAUUCCUUAACUCGGUCCUGCUCGGAGAGCUAGCGGCGUUACCUUCUGGGCUAACAAGACUUGGACCUCCGAGUUUUUGGCCAGGCUGCGCAGCAUGCAGGAUCUCAGUUCCCUGACCAGGGGUCGAACCCGCACCCCCUGCAUUGGAAGCGUGGAGUCUUAACCACUGGACCGCCAGGGAAGUCCCUAGGACUUAACAUCUUAUUUGAAUUAAGAUGGGUUCCUAAGUCUUUAAAUUCUUUUUAGUUUGCUUUUCAAACCAGUGGUCUGGUUAUUCACUUAAUGUUGUAUAUUAAUAGGACAGUCACCAGAGAAUGAAGAAUCAUGCACAUGCCUGUCAUACAAAGUUGUCAUGAGGAAGGGUGUCAGAGUUGAAAAGGACCAAGAUCUAAUGACCGAGUAACCUGUGGAAGAAAUCCAAACUUGGAUGAACGUUUAGGCAUUCCAGAUUUGUGGGAAUGAGUUUAACCAUCCUGAUGGGUGUGAGGCCCAGAAAAUUGUCAUUCUUGACCUGUAUAGCAGUUCCCUGGAAACCCUCACUUAUAGGGCUUGUCUUUAUUUGACCUGAUUCAGAGCUCUCUCAGGUCAAAUAGCCUUUUAAAAAAUAAUUGGUGACAACUGUUUAACAUCACAGCUGCCCGAGGUGGUGAUAACAGCUGGAGCAAACAAGAAGUUGACCAACAAUCAUGAAAAACUGGGAAUAAGAUAUCCAGAGGGACCUUGAAAAGCUCUGACAUAUUUCUGGGAAUCUGGAAGGCCAUAUGCAUGUGCAAGUGCAGGGCUGCAAGCAUGCCAAGGAAAGAACUGAGAAGGCCCUAAGCUUUCAACUCUGGGUGAUUUUUUUUUAUUGGAGUAUAGUUGAUUUACAGUGUUGUGUUAGUUUCAGGUGUACAGCAGAGUGAAUCAGUUAUACAUAUAUCCACUCUUUUUUAGGUUCUUUUCCCAUAUAGGCCAUUACAGAGUACUGAGUAGAGUUCCCUGUGCUAUACAGUA